Salmo salar (Atlantic salmon) is the source of this 54-nucleotide non-coding RNA. The record is from Rfam. Lineage: Eukaryota; Metazoa; Chordata; Actinopteri; Salmoniformes; Salmonidae.
UGUAUUCACUACUGUAAGUCGCUCUGGACAAGAGCGUCUGCUAAAUGACUUAAA